GCUCCUAUGGUUCGAGAAAAGAUGACGCCACAUUUAGCAUGGGACAGCCCUGUCUGGGUUCCGGGCGCCGUCGCUCACAGAGUUAAGCCAGUCUUGUGGCUGGGGAGCCCCCAGGGAAGGCAUGGGCCUGCAGGGACCAGGCCCUCUCCGCCCCAGAGCACCAAGGUCUGGGGUAAAAGAGGGGAUGAGAAGUGUGGCCGGGGAAGUGGAGUGUAGGCCCAACUCUUUUUGCCUUGUUUGACCAGCCUUGGCACUGCCCUCCGGCUCUCCAGGGGAAAAGCUGCAGUUCUGCUCUUGCAACACAAGGAGCAGACUGGAGAAUUUAGAUCUGCGUCACAGAGCUCAGAGAGAGAGAGAGAGAGAGGAGAGAGAGGAGAGAGGGGGAGAGAGAGCGAGCGCUCGUCGAUAGGUCUGCUAGCAACAGCCGUGCUGCAGCAGAGAGAGAGAGAAAUCAAGAAACAAGUCAUAGCAACACCGGGCACCAGGUUCUGCCAGCUCACUUGCCAAGGGCUCAGAAAUCUGCCGUGGCCGGAGGCCUCUGGGUGGCCUGGCUAAGGGGAUGACACGCAAGGUGGCACGGGCGGUUCCCGCGGGGAGGAGGUGGGGCCGCGGUGGGGGCAGGGGCGGGACAAGAGAUUUGGGGGCGACGGGGGACGGUUUAAUGGGACCAGUUUCUGGAACAUUCGGGACUGCGGCACCUCACGGCCGACCGGGAUCUGGGUCUGCGCAGGCGACGAUGGGUGGUCCGAUGGGCUUCAGGACUUGAUGGCGUAACCCCCUUCUUACCCCACGUACGUAUUUGCUGGGAUUGGGGGCCAUGUCUGCGUAUGUGGGUGCUCUGUCUUUCUCACCUUCUUUCUCGCUUUUGGCUAUUUUUUUUUUUCCUUUGAGGGAGGGUUUUUUCCACUUUAAUUUCUUUUCCUUUAGUGUCAGCUGCUCCAGCCUGACCGGGGCAGAGAAGAGAGGAGCAGACCGUCCCUGGCGGCCCACCUAACCUCCCAGCCUUUACCCCCAUUUCCUUCUACCAGACAGAUAGACGGACUGGUUUCCCAGGUUGUCUGGGUGUCAGCGUCUGUCUGUCCAUCUGUGUGGUUCUCAGGUGGAAGGUAGGGCGUGAGAAGUGCUGGGAGGAAGGCGAGGGGGGCGGCUUUCCAGGGGUUGCCUUGCUAAAACGUUCGGCCCUGGGGAUCUGGGUCUGGUGGGGAGCCCGUGGGCAGGAUGGGGCGUGGGCCGGGAGAAGCGGGGGCACGCGGGUAGGUUUGUCACUGCGUAGUUGGGGAAAGUGGGGACUGGUGACGCAGUCACUGUGGGAUCUUGUUAGGCGCUCUGGGGGGACAGGUAGUGGGGCUGCCGGGACCUAUAGGGCCAGCUGAGAGGGGUUAAGGAUGAGCUGAGAAGGGAAGCUAGCAUUUAGAGAUUAAAUGUCAUCCUUUUGGCGUUGGAAAGUUGUUUACCUUGCGCUCUCUGUGUCUCCAUGUUGGCACCCUUCCAGUUCACAUGUGAUGGCCUUCCUUGUACUGCUGCAUCAUUAACUAAGUGACUGAGCUGGCCUUCCAUUGGCCAGGGGAGGGCUCUCACGCCAGACACUUCCUCUGAUUGGUGGGCGGGCCAGUGGCAGGUGAAAACCUCUUUUUGAUUGGCUGAAGGCAGGGUAUCAAAUCUGAAUUUGCAUUUCACUUGCUUAAAGGGGAGGGGGAGAAGCCCAGCAGCCUUCUAAAAUCUGUUUAGGGGUGUGCGUAUGCUCCUGCGCGUAUGCUUUCUUCUGACUGACCAGUUGAAGCCUCUUCCUGUGCCUUUUUAAUUAUUUCAAGCGCUAUGAGGAAGAGGAGCCGAGAGCUCCCCAAACUUUUUUUUUGUUGUUGUUGUUGUUGGGGCGAAGGUUGAGGAGAUGGGAGCGCAGGGGGAUGACCAAACUGGAAGGAAAUAUUCGUUCUUUAGUUUGGUGUCAGAAAAGGGAAUUUUCCAAUCAGCCACACCUCAGUGUUGCGGCAAAAUAAUUCUUGGCUCCCCUGGAAACGCAUGGGCAAGGUAGGGCAGAGCUGCUGCUGCCACCACCCUCGGCUUCCUGCUGACUCUGGGCCACUCCCCGGGGACAAGAGAUUUGCAUUGACGUCCCGGGCUGUCCAGAGCUGAGCCCAUUAUGGGAGGACCUGCCUUCUGGAAGCUGCUGCUCCCUGGUGCUCAGAAAGGUACCACGUCGGGCUCGUUCACAGCGGCUGUUUCAUUUGUGCCUCAUCCCACCCCUGCGAGGAGCGGGCCGUGGCCGAGAACUCCGAGGAGCUCAGCUCUGCGAGUAGGUGACGCCCUCUCGGAGACACAGGCUCAGCCGCUGGUGGUGCUGGUGUGCGGGCCAUCGUGUGGGAUGAAUGGGCGCCCGUUUGCAUGUAUUUGGAACAAAAAGAAGGAGAUGCCUGGCAGCCUGGCGCUCUGCAAUGCUGGUAGAUUAUUCAGAACCAUGUGGAUGAGGGCGCCGAUGCAGGUGAGCGCCAGGAGGGGCUGGGGCCGCGUGGACACUGGGUUUGAGGCGAGGCCGGGCGCACUGCGGCUGGCAGCGCCGUGUGGCUGUGGGGUAUCUUCCCGGGUCCCUGUUUGCCUAGCUCUGCCCCGGGGUGUCCUCUGGCCUCUCUUCUUUCUUUGGACCUCCUGUCCCCCUGCCCUCCUCCAGCCUCGCUUUGAGUUUCUGGAGGAUGUGUGCGGUGUGGUCAUCCGGAGCUUGUCUGCUCUCCGCCCUCCCUCACGUUGGGGGUUUCUGGAAAUCUGGCUUGACUGGCAGUGUCGUGCUGGGAGGGACAGGGUUUUGGCCUCCUCCCUUUCGGGGGGCGGUGUUGAGCCCCCCUUUUGUGCGGCUCAGGUACCGAUGGAUGUGACGUGGUCCCGGUCUUGUGAGCGAACCAUCACCAGGCUGCUUAUUGGAAACCACGCGCAGCCAGGACCAUCAGGGCGCACCUGCCCUGCCUCCCAGGUGAGCAGGUGCGCAUCGCCCGUUCCAGCCCGCCCCCGCCCCUGCCCUUCACGUGGGGGGUGUCGGCCUUAUUCAGGCGGCAGCCCUCAGAGCUCUCCAUUCACAGUCUCCCAGACAAUCGCUCUCUUCUUUCCAUUUCUCCUCCUCCUGGCUUUUCUGUGAAUGGGUUAGUAGCCAGCGAAGGCCCAGGGCAGCCCAGUGACUGGGCCCUGGACGUGUGGGAGACGGCAGGGUGGCGGGGUAUGCUCUCCCUGGCCCCCCGCCUCUCGCAGGAGGUUCUGGAUGCUGACCCCUCAGAGGAACCGGGAGUCUGCCCGGGAACGGGGCCUUCUCGUCCCUGUGGCGUCUCCUGUUCUAGAAGCUUUUAGUCUCGUGGGGUCUUAGCCUAGGGCUGUGGUCUGGCGCGGAUAGACUCUGGGCUGCGCAGUGGACUUGGGGCUCUUUCAGUAGUUUGGGUAUUUUUUUUUUUAAGGGAGUGGCUUUUUUCCUCUAUGCCCUCAUUGCCUUUACUUAAAAGAAAAUUUCUGGCCCAGUGAGAGCCAUGGCAAAGCAUCUCCAGGCAGGUGACGUAGAAAGGGGUUUUUUCUCUUUUUUUCCUCUGCCUCACUUGAUGGCUGGUCACAAUAACAGCAACGGUGAUUGAAGACGCUGAGGGCCUGCCGAAUGCGGGGGUCUGUCGCGUUACGGAGACGGGGCACAGAGCAGACUGUGGGCGCGUCCACGUCCCCAGGAACUCUUUCUCCUGUCAGGUAGGCCCCUGCCCGCUUCUGGACCACAUUCUGGUAGGGCUGGGGGCAGUGAGCUGACGGCAGGUUUAUCUGGGGUCUAAGGAUAAAAGGGGAUAGGACUGGGUAGUUCGAUGGUGCCCUUGGCUAAUUUUAGGGGUACCCUUGGGAUCCCAGCUUUCUGCAAGUGCCUCGUGCAAGCGGGCGUUGCCCCCGCCCCACCUCCGGGGAAACUCUGGUGCAUUUCCCCCCCAGUGCUUUGCCUUCUCCCCUCCCAUCAGAGACGAGGCUCAGAGUUGGCUCUGAGGAGCCUGAGAUCCCCGCCCCGUGAGGAAGCCAGGGCCCUUUGGAAGGGACUGAUGUCUCUUCCUUCAAGGAAUUUGAUGAGACUCAGCCCCUCCAGCAGUCCCACGGGGGGACGGCCAGGGGUGUUGGACCUGGACCGUGAAUAAAGAGGAGAGACCAGCUUUGCUGCAGCUGGGGACGUGGAGAGGAGCCGGCCAAGUCCCUCAAGAUGUGUCGGCGAGAGCCUGGCCAGCACUGGCUGUGGGGCUGGACCCAGAUGGAGCUGCUGGCCCUGCUCAGGAGCCCAUGGCCCUGCUCAGGAGCCUCUGCUCCCCCGAGCUGCGCGUCCCCAGACCUGGCUCGGCAGCUGCCGCCCUCCUCCACGGCCCUGCCCUUGGCUGGAUGGAGAGCACCGGGGAGCAGCGCACGGGGAGGCUGGCCUUGGCCUCGAGCUGCAGCUGUCUCUCCAGCCUCUGGUGCUCCCAGGAUUGGGGCUGGUGCUCCCAGGAUUGGGACUGGUACUCGCCUGCUCGUUUCCCCAGCUCGGCCCCUCCCAUUCUCUCCUUCCUGCUCCGCAGCCUGGCUUCUCCUGACAUGGCAUGGAGCGUGGCCUGUCAGAAGGUCGGGUAGCAGAACAGGCAGAGCCCUGAGAGGAGCUGGACGGAGGCUGGCGCUUCUUUCUUGACCUUUGAUCUCUGCGGUCUGGGGGCCAGGAGGCAGAGUGGGGCCUUUCCAGCUGGGGUCCGCCGGAGGUUAGCAGAGCUGGGAGCCCCGGAGCCGACGGUGGGGCCCUGCCGGGAGGCCGGGGAGGGAGGGGCUCUGCCAGGGGAUCUGAUUGGUCAGCAGCUUCUUAUUCCACUGGAUCCUGGUCAGGUCAGGGCUAUGAAUUGUUUAAUGCGUAUCUUGCCCUGGCCCCUGGCGCGAGUGCCCCGAGGCUGCAGCCGCAGCUGUAGAGAGGCUCUGUACCUCGGGCUGGUCACUUUUUGGGGCACGUCGCCUCCCUCUGAAGUAUGGGAGAGCGAGUGCCUUUUGCGCUCGCCGGCUGUCUGUGGGAGGCCCUCGUCCUGCAUUGCUUUUCUGGGACGUGGAGUGUCUGGUGAGGGAAGCGCAGACUGGGCUGGGUUUCGCGCUAGCUCCUUCCCCAGGAGCUGCUCGUGGGCUGACGAGGCCAGCGAACGCCUCCAGGCCCCAGGCCUAUGGGAGCCUGAUGCAAUAGCGGGGAGCCUGGGCGGGGGAGGAGGGGGCUGAGGAUGGAGAGAGCCACGCCGGGAGAUGGCUGUACAGCGUCUGACCACAGGAUCAAGGCCAGCAGGGGUAGGAGGAUGUGUCCAGUGUCCAGCGAGGGCUGCCCGCUGUGGCUGAGUGGACACGGGUGUGCAUGGAGCCCAGAUCGGGGUCUGUAACGCGGCCCGAAGGCCCGAGACAGGCAGCGGAGCUCUCCGCCUGCCACCCAGGGCGAGGGGGACUGACCUUAGUUAAGAAGGCUCCCCUUGCUUAUUUGAUCCCUCUUCAGAAGAACUGCAUAAAGGAGCUGUUACUUCCCUUUUAUGGUUAAAGACGCUGUGAUUAUUACGUGACUUCACCGAGAUCACACACUCGGUAGGUGGCAUGGUUGAGGUUGAAACUCAGAUGCUUCUGAUUCCAAAGUCUGUGCCGUUUCUUCACCGUCUGUGGCUGAAGUCAGACAUUGCGGGAGCCAAGACCCUCAGGGGGUGGGCAGCCAAGCCAGCUGACGGGACCCAGAGUGAAAGGCCAGGGCCCGGGGGGCUUUGCAGUCACAGAGUCGGAGUUGGAGGCACCACGUCUGUUUCUGCGGAGGCAGGGCCCCGCUGGGAUCCGUGGACACGUAGGCAGAUGCAUCCCUUCUCCACGUGUGUCUUCAGUCUCUGCGGUGUCUCAGCCGGGGCCAGCGAAGGCCAGUUUCUGCUCCUGGGCAGGUAGGUGCUCGUGCGGGGAGAGGUCGUUAAUAAGAACAGAGAAUCAACAGUAGAGCAGACGAGGUGGAAGAGAAGGACACCCCUGCCUACGAAGGGGGCCCAGGUGUUGGUCAGGAUGGGGAGCUGAGACCGGGAGGACCUGGGCCACCUGGGCAAAAGCCAUGCUGAUCGAGCCUCCAACGUGAGCUGACGCAGAUGCUCCCCCCACGCUUUUUCUAACAGCCGGGAAAGCCCACCCGAGGCCGCGUAGCUCAUGGGCCCUUGCGGUGAGUCAGGAAUCGAGGUGGCAGUAACCGUCGAAGCGCUGGUCUCCGGCAGAGCGGGGUUCCUUCCCUUCGCCGUGGCUGCCCUGCUCUUACACCUCCCACCCUCCCCAGGUGCCAGCUGGCCCUCUCCCGCAGCCUGGUCACCGUGCCCCUCUCUCGUCCCCGCAGCCCAGGGGGACACUCAGGUUCGGUCUUUGCCAAGUCACUAGUAAAACUCGUGCCAGCUCGGCCUCUCCUGCCGGAACACGUCGUUCCAGAUUAUUGUGCCACAGGGAGGGGACAGGAGGAGGGCGGGGAGGAGGGUCCCCUUGCGUGGGACUCUUGGACCAGCUUGGUGUCUCGAGAGUUGAGGCAGGUUGGUGGCUGCAGACGGGGAAGGGGACGUUUCCUGUGGGCAGCUCAGGGCUCAGGACUUGUGCCCUGUUUGGAGGGCAGCGGCUGCCGGGCCCAGGGUGCGCCAGCCCCUGCGACUCUCCCGCUUCAGCAUCCCAGGCCUGACACCUGGCCCACCCCGGCCACGGAGGCUGCCGCUUGCUGCCGGCGGGCUGAUGCUGCACAGGCACAGGGACAGGAUGCGGGUCUCAGCAGUGGGCGGUGGGGGGGUGGGAGUGGCAGGGAGCAUUCAGACGAGUUGGCAGGCCUGGGUUCUGGCUCCCUUGGCACACACCCGCUCCCUUUGCCUCUUGGACCUCAGUUUCACUCUCUCUAAAGCAAGAGUGGACGGAAUCAUCUUGGAGGCCUGCUCACGCCGGCGUGGGGCUCCCUGGAUGGGCUUGCGGCUGAUUCUUAGCUAGAAACGCGGGAUGAGGGAAGAACCUAGGUCUGAGGUACAGGAAGCAGGCGUGGGGGGACUCUGAAGACCCCUCCGAGAGCAGCUGUGCGCCUGUCUUCCGAAGGGACACUGUUGGCAUAAAUUAGGGCGCGCGGGUGGAGACAGCUUUUGAAGGACCCCUGCCCCCCAGAAGUGAGUGGAGAGAGUGAAGGUAGCGUGAAGGUGGCAGACAGCGAGCCUCCGUCUCCCACCAAAAGGCUCGUCUGGAGCUGGGCCCUGUGGGAGCUGCUGGGGACCUGCUGUGCUCCAGGAAAGACAUGCCGUCCUACUGGCCCUAAAUCCUGGCUGGAACUCGGGACUGCAGGGCCCUGUGUCCUGCCUCCCCUGAGGCAUCCCUUCAGGGUCUCUGCCCCUUUGCCAACAGGCAGUUUCCCUGUAUGUGUAGCCUUCCUUUGCCGUGUGGUUGUUUGAGUCCUUCUAUUACAACAAAAAAAGACAAGAGAAGAAAACAGAAAUAUCUCGGAGCCACCAAUUCCAUUUUGGCUUUUUAGUCUUGAGGCAGUCUCUAUUUAGUAUUAAUUUUUUUUUUCUUUUUUGGCCCCACCCGUGGCAUGCAGAGGUCCCUGGACCAGGGACUGAACCCCCGCGCCACAGCAGUGACAACGCUGGAGCCUUCACCUUCCACACCACCAGGAGCUCCUUGAGGUACUCUUUAAAAGACAGCAAACCUGAAGCACACACAGCAGAGCCCAGGGUCCCAGGCCCUUCUGGCUGUUACACAAGGCCCGGCUUGGGCCAGGGGUGGCGGGGCCCUGGCCCCGCUUCUCCCUGGCAGCUCAGGGCCUGCUGUCCACUCUGUGUGGGUAGGAGCCCUGAGGCUGGGGCACAUACCGUGCAAUGCACUAGACAGAUCGCAGAGCUUUAAAAAUAGCUGCGUUCCUCCAUGAUGCUCUCUGCUCGCCCCUCUGCUGGACACUGAGCUGGACUCAUAACUCUGAGUCCAGCCCCGCCCCCCCCACCCCCCGCACCUCCAGGCUAGUGUGGGGAGCAGGGAUUUGGGCUGGGCCGCAGGCUGGAGAGGAAUCAACUAGCAACCAUCGUCUCCCCGCACCCCGUGUGAUGUUUCGUGGUUCUUUUCACGUUUGCCAGCUCUUGUGGUCCCUACACAGUGCUCUGGGGACAAGGGGUAGCAUUAGCCCUGUAGCUGAUGAGACCGAGCCAGAGAGAAUCCUGCCAGGAUCUAACUGCUUGUACCUACUUAAUUUGGGACACCUGCCCAGGUCCCCUGACUCUGGUUGUCAUGUCCUUGGGUUCGAAUUGUGUUCCUCCUUGACCGUGGGGCAGGGCAGGGAUGGGGGCGGGUCCUGGGCCAUUGACCUGACCUCUCCAGGCCUUUGGGUCCCUUCUCUAUAUUAGCGAAGGGGCGCCUCAGAAUAUCUGGGUUCUCCUGUUAUCCGCUCUUUCAACUUCUGGGUGCUCUUGUGAAAACUGGCUUGCAGUCCUCGGCUGGGAAUCCAGCCAUUCACUGUGCGUAUCUGGUGAGGUUUCCUACCUUUGAAACUUCUCGAAUACGGCUGCUUCAUUCUGACCCAUCUGGGUGGCACGUCAUGCGUGUGUGCACACGGUCCUGUUUCCGCUGAGUAGCCCUCUUAGAAAUGAGCCUCAUCGCGAGGUCCUCGAGAUUUUUCCAUCAGAUUUUUAAAGUACGCCCAGAGCCUGGCCCAGGAUGUACCUUGUGUGUAUGUUACAUGUCAGUUAGCUGCUUGACACUCAGAACCUGCUGCAAGAAUUGGCUCACGUACACUGGAAAGUAAGAUACUGCAAACACUGGCCUCAGCUCUGGUUGUUUGCAUCAUGACUGGCGAGAAGAAGUGGGCCGUUCCCGUGGACAGGAAGGUGGGCCGGAGUGGUCUCGGGGGCCAGUGUUCCCUCCCUCUCCGAGGGGUGCUGAGGCAGAGCGGCGGCCACCGGGCUCCUUGGCUGGGUGGCCCUCUGCGUGAUCGUCAUCCGUAGACCCGAACUCCUGGGUGGGAGAAAGUGUUCGUUUGCAGCACCUUUAGCCGUGGUGGCUUAGGCUUCAUCCCUUAGCCUCAUGGUGUCCCUUGCGGAGGGACUGGGGUCGGACAGGGGCAGCGUACGUGUCUGCAGACGUCCACCCACUCGUCUGCCUGGAGCGCAGCCUCAGCUCGUAGAGCGGCCCCGUGAUGGGGAGGCCACCUGGGAACUGCUCCGGGGCUGCCGCCUUCAGCAACUGUGCGUGUGAAGAGGUGGCACAUCCGACGCUGUUCACCUGGAGGUGGGGACGAGGGUGGCUGGACCUGCUGCCGGGCGGGUGACAUUGGCUGGACUUCAGGGACAACUGUGGCGUCUCCUUGGCUGCAGGCUUCCGGAAGAGGAGACUUCUGUAUCUGAGAAAGGGAGCCUGGGCAUCCCGGACAGGGUCCUUCCAGACCUGAGUCCGAGGCCACCACAGAGCAGCACGAGGCGUGGGAGCCGGGAUCUGGCUGGGGCUCCGUCUUUCCUUUCUGUCCCUGAGGCAAGCCUGAGCCCGGGCUGGGCUCCUCGUGAGCGCUGUUUCUCUCGCAGAGAGAAACGUCUUGACCUGACCCUCUAGGACGGGUAGGGUUGCAGACAAGCAGGGGAGACAGCACACCGCCCUCGUCCCUGCCAGGAAGGAGCCCCGAGUGGCUCUGAUCCUGCAUUUGCAUCAGCACCGCCGCCAGCCCUGCCGACUCCUUCCAGUCGUAGGGACCUUUGACAGACACGUGAGACGUGAGGGAGAGUGUGUAUGGUGGGGGGUGGGGGGGCAGAACAGGAGGCUCCCCGGGCAGAGCCGGAGGUCGUUGGCUGGGAAAAGGCCGGAGAUGGAAGGUGACAGUCUCGGGGCAGGGGCGUCCCUCGCUCUGGCCCCCCCAGCAUUGCGGGUGUGUGUCGAAAUGGGCACACUCUUUAGUGUGACCCUGGGCCAAGAUCAAGCAGCUCGUCACCAAGUGAAGGUUGUAUGAAAUACAGAAAGUCGCACAUCCUUCCGUCUCACGCUGCCUGCGGAUUUAGCAUCUAAAGGCGGGCCAGGUGGGAAACCCUUCCCUGGGCGCCCCUGUGUGUCACGUCUCGCUUCUUUUCCCUCUUUCACUCUAUCUCCUUUCUUUUCUGCUCCCCGCUCUCACUCCCUGCGCAGGUACACGGGAGCGCUUGUCCUUGGGUUUGUCUGUGUUGUCGUGUCUUGGGGUACAGCUCUUCCAGUGCCUCUGACGUGGCGGAAUGGCUUACCUUUACGUCCGAUGUGAACAGAGCCCAGGCUCGCUGCAGAGGUGAGAGACGUCUCUGCGAGGGCGCAGCUCCCCACCUGGUCCUGGGGCGGGUCGUGCAGACCCCUCAGGAGAUGGAACUCGAGGGUGACCUCGCGGGGCCAGCUCGGCGCCCGUCAUGCCUCCUCUCUGGGUGGGGUUGCCCACCCCUCAAUCCCACAGCCCUGUGAGCCGUUUCUUCUUCUCAGCUUGAACCCUGAGAAGUGGCCUUGAACAUCUGAGACCACACGUCCCCUGCCAGGUGAACAGGAGGCCGCGAGGGAAGAGAGGGCCUGGGAUGGGGAAGAAGGGAACACGGGCUUCUGGCCGCUGGCCUCUCUCCAAGACAGGUGGACUCUGCGUUCAGAAAGGAGCUCAUUUCAUCUCUCAGCCCUAAGUGGCCGCUAUUUGCGUUUUCUCUCCUUCUCGCUUUCCCUCCUCCCUCUCCCUCGCUCCCUCCCCACCCCCACCCUGGCCUCCAAAAGAAUUUAAUCUGCUGGACAACAAACAAUACUGUUAUAAAACUUUGAAAACAAGAGGGCGAGGCCUCCCUGACAAGGAGAAGGGCAUGCCGGGUAAGAGCCCAGGGAGUCUGCCAGGCCCGAGAAGGAGCCAGGCCAGAGCCCAGUGGGCUGGGCACCUGGGCGCCCGCCCCCUGCCCAGCCCACCAGCCGUGCCAUCCCCGGUCCAGAGGGGAAGGAACCGAAACCAAAGUCUUGGGGCGAGAAGCGCUCGAAAAGGGGAAGUGGUGCGUGUUCCCCUCGAACCAAUCUGGUGGGAAUGCACUAGACUGUGAAGCUCUCCCCCCCCCCCCCCCGCUCCUUCUCCCCCCUCCCUCCUCUCCCUGCCUCCUCCCUCCGCUCCCUGUUCCAGGUCCUGAGACUGGCAGGCAGAGGUCCUGAUAACAGAGCGAGGCUGGCACAGCUGUGUAGGUACAGCCGGCCGGGCCGGCUGCAGGGGAAGCAGGAGAGAAAGGGGUUCCGAGUUGGCCUCAGCUUCCAGACCUGCCCUCUGUCCACCCAGCCUCCCUUCCCCCCACCUGGGGAAGUGGAACCAGGUCACGGGGCGGGGUGGGGCGGGCCCGGGUCCACGUGCUUCUCCAGGUGUGUCCCCAGGUACCGGGUAGAACUGCGGCUGGGAGGUUAGUGGGUACGUGCCAGGCUUCCUGGUGCCCGCCAGGGGCCGUGCUCCCCGGAGGAUGUGACCCGAGGAGAGGCUCUGCUCCCCUUCCAGAAGGGCUGGGAGAUGUGCCUGUGGCCAGGCACACCUCUGGAAAGGCUCCUGGGGACAGAAACCUGCUUCUCCCACCAACAGGUGUGCGGUCCUUUGAGUGGGGCUCCUGGUGGGAUCUUGCACCUGCGAGUGACUCGUGGUGGCGGAAGGAGGGGGUGACCCAGCCCUGCCUGGGAAGAUGGGGAAGCUGGGCUCUGGGCAUCUCUCCCCCAGUGUCCAGAGUUAGACCUCAACUGAGCCUAAAGUGUCACUUCCGAGUCCAGCUUCCUUGGGUCAAGUGGAUGCUUUGAGGGAAGGGGAGCAGUGUUGGUGGUUCUCCUUCAGAUCUGCCUUGCUUUGGACCCGUGAACUGCGGUGAGCGCUGUGCGUGUGUGUGCGUGUGUCUGUGCGCCCGUGGUAGACCUGGGCACACUCCCUCUCCCACUUGUGGAAAAGCACCCCCUCCCUGAGAGUAGGUCAGGGCUGUGCCCACCUUCUGCCUGGGUUCAGCCAUGCAUGAGGAGCGGGGAGGCAGCCUGGAUCCUGUCUUCACCCCCUGCCUCUUCCUCCCCUUCGCUGCCACCUCUCCUGCCGCCCUCCCAGGCCCCGCGGCAUCCCCCGGGCAGGGUACGCACGUGCCCCCUCCUGGCCAGCCGGCCAUCCCGACGAGGGCCUCUCUGCCCGUCCUGCGUCUGGGGGGUCGCGACACCUCCAAACCCAGGUUUUUGCUGGUGGUGCAGAGGAAGGGCUGGAGGGCUCCAUGCUCCUGCCCCGAGAAGAAUCAGGAUUUUGCUGACACGGGGCCUCCGAGGAAGCCGAGGCGGUGGUGACUUUUUGCCCCGUUACCGCGACAGGCAUUUGGGGGUUUCACUGCAUCUGGAGCGUGUCAUCCCCACUUUGGGAUCCGGGGCCUGGGACGUGUGGCAAUCCCUGGAGGCUGAGCCCCGCUCUGGGUGGGGCAGGGGGCCCCCGGCUCCGGCCUGAAAGAGCCAGCUCCCCGUUCCCCCCACCCAGCCCCCUACACACAGAUCGUUCAUUUUAUCACCCUUUCCUCUGAUUCAUUCGCCGCAGCUCGUUGGCAGCAGGCCCCACCCUGACAGCUCAGGACAAAGCAUGCGGGGCCCUGGGCUGGGGCUGAGGGACACGAAGCUGGGCCAGGCCUCUCGGUGCAAAGCACAAUGGUCUGGGGCGCACACAAGGGCACACCCCUGGUCCCCUUUUUCGAAAGGGCCUUCUCUGGCCCCUCUCUCCCCCGGAUGACUCUUCCUCGCUACCAGGAGCCCCGAAACCAGCAUUCCCAGUGGCAGGAAGAUGGAUGACCAGGCUCCACUUCCCCGGCUCCUCCCCCGCUCUGGCUGGAACUUGCGUCAGGCCCAUAAGUCGCUGUGACUCAGCACCCAGCCGGUGGGGAGGGAGGGAGAAGCUGCUGCCUCGCAGGAACCUUCCUGGCGUUCUGGAUUUGAACACACGGUGGUAGCGCAGAACCAGCCAGCAGCAUUAUGUUCUCAGAGGCCAAUAUCUGUUUGUUCUGUGGGUUUGCACACGGAUUUCACAAACAAGGGUUCACUUCCUUCUUGCUUUCCUUCUGUGUUAUUUGGGGGUGGGGUGGCACCACGCGGGCCAUCAGAUUUUGGGGACUUGAAACGACACAGACGGCGUCGUUUCUAGGCUGCAGGAGAAGCUCUCCUUGCCAUCUAGAUUCGUGUUUAACCCCCAGAUGUUUGGUUUCCUUUUUAAAAUCGUGUCAGACUCUGCAUGCCUUUAGACAAAACAUGGCCCAUCCGGGUCACUUAUUUCUGUUGCACGUUGUUGCUGCUUCUGUGUCUUCAGCUUCCUGCCCGACCCCUCUGUGCAUUUGAACAUGUCGUGACGGGCCUGUGCCAGCCCCGCUCUUUCGGGAUGGACACUCCCAGGCCCGUUCCAGGAAAGCACAGGCCAGUCCCCGGAGCCCGGGCUGAGCAGGAGUCCAGCUUGCUGUGUUCCAACCCCCUGUGCAGGUCAGGGGGAACCUUUCCUCCACCCUUGGGUCCCUGCCCAGGCGGAGCAGUGGAAAAACCUCCAAAGAAAAUAUGGGCAUAGAAGUAGCCUUGGGUGACACUGUGGCCCCCAGACCCUCUUCCUGCCCAGCGGUACCUGCAACGCUGACACAGCUGCUCAUCGGGGGUGACUUCCCUCGUGGGCAGCCUCUCCCCCGUGGGUCAGCUCGGAUGGCGCUGCCAGGCUCCGGCCGGAGGAUCCUGCCCCUGCCUUUGCCAGCAGAGCCCUGGGGGGGCCGGGGCUGCUGCUUCCAGAUCAGGGUGACCCUCAGGGUGGGUGCCAAGAAGAGCAAGCCGCUUCCAGCUGCUCCUCACCACCUGGCCACACGCAACUAGGGAACAAAUGCAGCCGCUGGUUUCGGGUGAGUCACUGCUCGGCUGACUUGGAGAGAGAAGCCUGGUGCUGUUGGGGGGCUGCGACCGCAGCAGACCCUUUUAUCCGGGGGACUGGAGGGUAGAAGCUUCGGGUCCUAAGAUGCCUCCCCCCACCCCCCUUCUUUUGGAAUGUUUACAAUGAUGCAUUCUUAAUGACUUUUGUCUCUUCUUCCAGAGAACCAGGAGCAUUUUAGAACUCAAGAGUAGGGCGCCCAAACUCUGGUUCCUGUCUCUAAGCUCCCUGGGCGCAGCCUCCCCUCUGGACUCAGGGCGGACGCUUCCUGGGUGGCAGGGGAGACGUGACCGGACGACCUCGGUAUGCUCUGAAGGAAAAGCAGCGUCACCAAGAGCCAGCCCAGACCGGGAGCUCUCCCAGGACAGGCUGGCUGGGCGAGACCUGGAGGCGGCUCCAGGCCACCAGGCUUCCUUGGGGGAGGGGCUGGGGGAGGGCUGGUGUCACGGGAGAGUGGAUGCAGAGCAUCCCAGGACGAGGGAACCGCAUGUGCCAAGGCCUCGCGGUGGAGGAGGAGGCGGCAGCCUGGAUCAUCCAGCGACUCCUGGGACCACAUCUUAGGAUAGGGUUUGUGGGGAGUGGCAGUUGGGCAUUGCCAAGGCAGGAGUUUGGCUGACGUGCCGAGCAGGAAAGCUGGGAGUGCCCAAAUGCCGCUCUCCGACCCCCUCGUGUCUGUAGGAGUCAGGCCCUACCGCAAAACAGUCAUUAGCCCUCACUCCCGACCCUCAAGCCUUAGCAGUCACCUGAUCCACAACCGCUCCUGCCCUGCUGAUGGCAGGUGUCCUCACUCUGAGCCCUGCAGGCAGUGCCCACCCCCAGCCCCAGUUCUCUUAUCUGUGACCAGGACCUCGCCAAACACCAGGGGCUGCAGAGCUCAGCGUGGAUGUCAGGAUCCCUCAGGCGUGCAGCCCCAGCGCAGCAGGGCGUUCAUCCCAGAGGCUUCCCCACUCCUGCAGCCGCGUGGUGGAGACGGCAGAGGCGCCAGAGGUGCAGGAGAACAAGCACGUACCAAAGCCCCCGGCCCUGGCAGGACCAGGCGUGCGUCCACCUCCGCGGGGGUUUAACAGGUUGUGCGGUCAGCAGCGUCCCCUUCCACGCAGAGCUUUGUAACUCUCCUCUGUGCCUGCACAUGGAUCCACAUUUCUGCCCGGUCACCAGUGGAACUGCAAGAAGAUAGUUCUGCUCGAGACAGAGGCUGGGCCUGCCCAUCUCAUCUCCCUUCUUUCUUCAGUGACACCCUCUUCUUCUGGAAGCUGGUUUCACAUGGUGGCUUAGAUUUUUCCAUCUUUGUAUCUAGCACCAUUUGAAAUCAGUGUUUUAGGAGUAAGAAUUGCAGCACAGCCAAAGGCCAACUGCAGAGGAGCAGCUGUUCUGGGACCAGCUCCCCCCGCCUCCUCCACCUGAGCCGGUUCAAGAAAGGAAGAGCCGGAGCAGCGCAGCACACGCUCGAGUGUGUCGGGCGGUGCAGGGGGACAGUGCAGGGUGGGAAUCGUUCAAAGGAAACGCAGGGGCUUGAGCAGGGCCGGGGCUUGCGAAGGUCUUCGUGUGCACAGGUAGCAGCAGCCACCAGCCGUAAGCCGCUGGUCAGACGUGUGCGCGCGUGGGUGGGCCGUGCUGAGCUGGGUGCUCCACGGCCGCAGGGACGGGAAGGCUGUGUCCCGGGAGGAUUGUCGCGUCGCAGCCACAGUGUCCUCCGGCUCCUAGCUGCCUGGAACCUUCAGCUGCAGGUUCCGCACAGCUGAAAUCGGACCUGCCUCCUGCAGUGCCACGGUGCUGGACCCCACCGAGCCCCGCUGGACCCAUCUCUUACACAGGCUGACCGAUUUCUCCUGGUGUUCAGAGUCUGUUUUUGUCUAGCACCAUUUGAAAUCGGUUAUGAUGUAGGGGGAAAAGCAGCAGCUUCGAGGCCUCACGCCACGUCUGGUCGGCGCAGCCUGUGGCUCCUGGAAGAUGGAUGGGCAGAGAGAAGGGAAGGAAGAUCACGCUUCUUCCUACUAACUUCUUUAACUACAUCUACAGGGCUUUGCGCAGGAGUAAUAGAUCAUGAGAUGGGUUUUUGAAAACAAAUCCGUAGUAUACCUGAUGCCCUCGGUUUGCUGAAGGGUGACUGUGCUAUAAACUCUAUAGAUUGGUUGCUGUUGAAUUAUCUGUUAAAUCUGUUCAUGCAUCGUAACCUUAAUAAAUGUUCUACUGUAUUCAAUUUA
Molecule: RNA transcript, 16074 nt
Organism: Phacochoerus africanus (Common warthog)
Lineage: Eukaryota; Metazoa; Chordata; Mammalia; Artiodactyla; Suidae
Exons: 5
Source: RefSeq, a predicted model, not a curated record